RNAcentral lists this unclassified non-coding RNA (129 nucleotides) under uncultured Xylaria. Its description in RNAcentral is "sequence contains ITS1". The record is from RNAcentral. Lineage: Eukaryota; Fungi; Ascomycota; Sordariomycetes; Xylariales; Xylariaceae.
GAGAGUUAACUAAACUCCCACACCCAUGUGAACGUACCUUGCGUUGCCUCGGCAGGCCCCAGUGGUUUGCCGGCGGCCUACACAAACUCUGUUUACUAUUGUCUUCUGAACCAAUAACUAAAUAAGUUA